RNAcentral lists this long non-coding RNA (1277 nucleotides) under Cottoperca gobio. RNAcentral describes it as "lncRNA (ENSCGOG00000011448.1)". The record is from RNAcentral. Lineage: Eukaryota; Metazoa; Chordata; Actinopteri; Perciformes; Bovichtidae.
CAUCACACCAUUUCUUGCAUUCUAAUGCAUUCUCACAUCUUUACAAAAUCCCCCCGUUCCGCCACACGCCGUGGAUGUGCUCGUUUUGUCGACUUACAGUUCGGUAUUUCUGCACGUUUGACUUGUCCAGUGAGAAGAUGCACGAUAAAGAUGCAGUGUUUUGCAUGCUCUAAUUUGCACGUUUUAUUACCAGGAGUCAGUGGACACAAUAAAAAUGGAUGCGUCGGGAGAUUUGUCUCUUUACGAUGCAUCGACCUGCCGCUCUGCUUUCAACAGGAGGCUGUCGGUCUGUGUGAAGGCUCUGUCGCCUGGAAAGAAAAGGCUCUAUGUUCAGUGCAGUUGUGCUGGUGCUUGGCUGCCUGCUGCAGAGGAAGCUAGUGACCACAGAGGGGCAUCGUGGGACCAACCGGCAUGUCUUCUAUGCAGUGCGAAUGGACGGAGGCAUCCGAGCUGCCAGAGCUCUGGCCGCGCAGCACAGACUGGAGUUCAUACAACAGUGUUAGGGGCAGUGUCCGCUGGCCUGGUGUGAGGUGGUGUGCAGAGCGGGCUCUGGGGAACGGGGACGCAAACUCAUUUCAACCUUGGCCCCGCUGCCGCUGCAAUAGCUGCCGCUUCCGCUACUGCCGCCGCAGCCGCCGCUACUGCCGCUACUGCCGCUACUGCCGCUACUGCCGCUACCCCUUCCGCUGCUCCUGCCGCUGCUGCUACUGCCGCUGCCCCUUCCGCUGCUCCUGCCACUGCUGCUACUGCCGCUUCCGCUGCCGCCUGGUCAUGAAUAAAACAUCUCUUUGACCUUUAUCAGGAGUGUAUUGGACAGUCCACCCCCGUCUCCGUCUUCCUCUCUGCCUGUCUCUCUCUCAUUGUCCCUCAUGUAUGCACACAAACACCUCUGCCUCUUCCUGCAUUGUUUUCUGCUCUCUUUUAUAAACCACUGAUAGUCCCCCGAUGCACUGAUCGCUUGUAAUUAUGAAAACAAAAGCAAAAACAUGUUGCCAUGUACAUGUAUUUAUGCAUAAACAAGGUACUGUGAAACACAUUUUUGAAAAUAACUGUAGUUUUGUUAGUAGGGGUGUAAAUCACAAUUUUGAUUCAAUUCAGGGUCCUGCAAUAUGAGACGAUAUCAUGACCAUUUAACACUAUCAGUUGCAUCAACUGACAAAAAGCAACUCAAAUAUGACAACUUUAUUACUAGGCUCUUACAAACAUUUAAAUAACAAAAAAGAAUAAAAAUAAAUCUCUGUUUCUCUGAUGUAAAAUGCCACAUUUCUCAUUUUUAG